GACGAACGCUGGCGGCGUGCUUAACACAUGCAAGUCGAACGGAAAGGCCUGCUUUCCCUUGUGGAUUGCGGGUACUCGAGUGGCGAACGGGUGAGUAACACGUGAGUGAUCUGCCCCCAACUUGGGUAUAAGCCUGGGAAACUGGGUCUAAUUCCCGAUAGGACUGCAGGGUGGUGCCUGUGGUGGAAAACGAUUUUCUAGUGGUUGGGGAUGAGCUCGCGGCCUAUCAGCUUGUUGGUGGGGUAAUGGCCUACCAAGGCGGCGACGGGUAGCCGGCCUGAGAGGGUGGGCGGCCACAUUGGGACUGAGAUACGGCCCAGACGCCUACGGGAGGCAGCAGUGGGGAAUAUUGCACAAUGGGCGGAAGCCUGAUGCAGCGACGCCGCGUGGGGGAUGACGGCCUUCGGGUUGUAAACUCCUUUCGACCGCGAGGAAGCCACCUGGUUGGAAGGGUGGUGACGGUAGUGGUAGAAGAAGCACCGGCUAACUACGUG
RNAcentral lists this ribosomal RNA (494 nucleotides) under uncultured bacterium. RNAcentral's name for it is "partial 16S ribosomal RNA". It matches the Rfam family "Bacterial small subunit ribosomal RNA", at positions 28 to 507 of the family's 1533-position model. The record is from RNAcentral.